This 83-nucleotide transfer RNA is filed under the name Canis lupus familiaris (dog). It matches the Rfam family "tRNA". Rfam says of the family: Transfer RNA (tRNA) molecules are approximately 80 nucleotides in length. The record is from Rfam by way of RNAcentral. Lineage: Eukaryota; Metazoa; Chordata; Mammalia; Carnivora; Canidae.
GCCUGGGUGGCUCAGUGGUUGAGCGUCUGCCUGCAGCUCAGGGCAUGAUCCUGGAGUCUUGGGAUUGAGUCCCAAUUCAGACU